UCUGUACAGAAAGUGUGAUAAAUUAAUUUGGAAAAAAUAUUUAAACGAAGCAAAUAUGAAGACCAUUUUCUUUUUGAUAACUUUGGUAUGCUACUGCCUCUGUGACCCGAAACCCACCCUUCCUCUAUUAGGUGGACUGCUAGGUGGUGGUGGCGAUAAGUGCGACAAGCCAGGCGGACCAGGCAACAACCCAGGAGGCGGUCCC
Ostrinia nubilalis (European corn borer) is the source of this 205-nucleotide long non-coding RNA. RefSeq lists it as uncharacterized. NCBI's taxonomy places the organism in Eukaryota, Metazoa, Arthropoda, Insecta, Lepidoptera, Crambidae. The record is from RefSeq and is a predicted model, not a curated record. The transcript has 3 exons.